This is an unclassified non-coding RNA of Callithrix jacchus (white-tufted-ear marmoset), 299 nucleotides long. It matches the Rfam family "Metazoan signal recognition particle RNA". From Rfam's summary of the family: The signal recognition particle (SRP) is a universally conserved ribonucleoprotein. It is involved in the co-translational targeting of proteins to membranes. The record is from Ensembl. Lineage: Eukaryota; Metazoa; Chordata; Mammalia; Primates; Cebidae.
ACCGGGCGCAGUGGCACGUGCCUGUAGUCCCAGCUACUCGGGAGGCUGAGGUGGGAGGAUCGCUUGAGUCCAGGAGUUCUGGGCUGUAGUGCACCAUGCCGAUCGGGUGUCUGCACUAAGUUCGGCAUCAAUAUGGUGACCUCCUGGGAGUGGGGGUCCACCAGGUUGCCUAAGGAGGGGUGAACCGGCCCAGGUCGGAAAAGGAACAGGUCAAACUCCCGUGCUGAUCAGUAGUGGGAUUGCACCUGUGAACAGCCACUGCACUCCAGCCUGAGCAAUAUCGCAAGAUCCUGUCUCAA